This is a non-coding RNA of Podarcis lilfordi (Lilford's wall lizard), 72 nucleotides long. Lineage: Eukaryota; Metazoa; Chordata; Lepidosauria; Squamata; Lacertidae. The record is from the annotation of a GenBank genome assembly.
GGCUGUAGCUCAGUGGUAGAGCUCCUGCUUUGCAUGCAGAAGGUCCCAGGUUCAAUCCCAUGGUCAGGGCUA